RNAcentral lists this ribosomal RNA (791 nucleotides) under uncultured bacterium. RNAcentral's name for it is "bacterial SSU rRNA". It matches the Rfam family "Bacterial small subunit ribosomal RNA", at positions 8 to 796 of the family's 1533-position model. The record is from RNAcentral.
AGAGUUUGAUCAUGGCUCAGGACGAACGCUGGCGGCGUUAACACAUGCAAGUCUACGAGAACAAGGUAGCAAUAUCUUUAUUAAAGUGGCGCACGGGUGAGUAACACGUAAGUAACCUACCUUUAGAUUUGAAAUAACCCCGAGAAAUCGGGGCUAAUACCGAAUGAUGCAGCAGCACCUCAUGAUGAUGUUGUUAAAGUCUAUAUGACGUCUAAAGAUGGGCUUGCAUCUGAUUAGCUAGUUGGUGAGGUAACGGCCCACCAAGGCUACGAUCAGUAGCUGGUCUGAGAAAAUGAUCAGCCACACUGGAACUGAGACACAGUCCAGACUCCUACAAAAAACAGCAGUGAGGAAUAUUGGGCAAUGCCCGAAAGGGUGACCCAGCAACGCCGCGUGGAGGAUGAAUGUCGUAAGAUUGUAAACUCCUGUUAGAGGGGAAGAAUAAUCCCGAUCAAAUCGGGACUUGACUGUACCCUCAGAGAAAGCCCCGGCUAACUACGUGCCAGCAGCCGCGGUAAUACGUAAGGGGCAAGCGUUGUCCGGAUUUACUGGGUGUAAAGGGCGCGCAGGCGGGUUAGCAAGUCAGAGGUGAAAUCCUACAGCUUAACUGUAGAACUGCCUUUGAGACUGCUAAUCUUGAAUAUGGAAGAGAGAGAUGGAAUUCCAGGUGUAGUGGUGAAAUACGUAGAUAUCUGGAAGAACACCAGUGGCAAAGGCGGUCUCUUGGUCCAAUAUUGACGCUGAGGCACGAAAGCGUGGGGAGCAAACAGGAUUAGAUACCCUAGUAGUCC